UAUUAUUAUUAUUAUUAUUAUUAUUAUUAAUGGACCGAACUCUAAUGAAACUGAUGAGUUGGGGCUCAAUCACACAUAACUUCCUAUCAGAUAUAAAGUGUAUUAUACACCAAUCAGCCAUAACAUUAAAACCACUGACAUGUCAGUAAGUGAACAGUCAGUUCUUGAAGUUGACGUGUUGGAAGCAGGAAAAAUGGGCAAGUGUAAGGAUCUGAGUGACUUUGACAAGGUUGUGAUGUCUAGACGUCUGGGUCAGAACGUCUCCAAAACAGCGGUGUUGUGGGGUGUUCCCGGUAUGCAGUGGUCAGAACCUACUAAAAGUGGUCCGAGGAAGGAGAACCGGAGAACCGGCGAAGGGUCACGGACGCCCAAGUCUCAGUGAUGCGUCCGGUCCGAUCCCACAGAAGAUCUACUGCAGCACAAACUGCUGGAAAAGUCGAUGCUGGUUCUGAUCGAAAGGAGUCGGAACACACAGAGCGUCACAGCUUGCUGCGUCUGGAGACGUGUAGCUGCAGAGCGGUCAGAGCGCCCAUGCUGACCCCCUGUACUCCACCGAAAUCUCCUACAAUGGCCAUCAGAACUGGACCACGGAGCGAUGGAAGAAGGCGUCCUGGUCUGAUGAAUCAGGUGUUCUUUUACAUCACGUGGACGGUCAGAUAUCACAGCACACCUUCAGAGGUCUUGUGGAGUCCAUGCCUCGACGGGUCGGAGCUGUUUGGUGGAACAAGGAGAGGGGAACCUACACAAUAUUAAGCAGGUGGUCUUAAUGUUAUGGCUGAUUUGAUGUAUAGUGUAGAGCAGGAAACGCUUCGUUCCUAUGUGUAGUGUACUAAUCUGGGGAUUUAUUCAGCUCGUGCUGCAGAGCUGCGCUCUGAUUGGACCGCUGCAUGUGACAUGUUUUAUAAGGCGCGGCGAUUCAACAGUGUUGCCAGACCGCUAUAAAUAACAUCAUUAAAUCUUUUGUUCAAUAUAAACUAAAUAUUGUAUGUAUAUGAUGUAUGAAGUUUUACUGCACGGGUAUUUGGUGCGUUUACAGAUAGUUAGACUACAGAGUAAAAUUUAAUUUAGAUUUAUACUCGGGUUUUGGAAGUGUAUUCACUGUCAGGGGUUAGUAUUCAUCUGGCAACCCGGACCCUGCAUUCCGAACCCCCCCCCCCCCCCCCCCCCCCCCCCCCCCCCGUGUCGUUCAACAAACCUGAGAGAAUAACUUUCUGCGGUGUCUUCACUACUGUUCAGCGUCUCAGGAGUCUCAGGAUGGUGGGCAAACAUGUGAGGAGAAUGGAUGAAGGUCUGAUGAUGAUGCAGGAGCUGGAGGAUCGCCUGAAGGAGCAGAUCGACAAACUGGAACACGUCCGCCUGGCUGCAGCAGAGCUGAAAGAAAACCUGUCUGGGAACGGUGGAGAUCUGCGUCAGUCCAUCGCUGAACACGUGGACUGGCUGAAUCAGCUAACGGAGCGCGUGGAAACACUCCAGAUGAAUACGUCCGUCUUCGUCCAGACGAACUCCAGGCCUCGAGUCUUCAGAGGGAAACAGCAGAGCUUCCGAAAUCCCACCCACUUCGGGCGUGGCCACCUGGUCGACGACGCUCAGUCGGAAUUCGGUUGGUCUCCGAUACGUACGAGGCGUAACAGCGACGCCGCGUCCGAGAUGUCGUGCGCCUGGUGAGCGUAAAACCCGCUGUUCCGUUUCUCAUGACGUGUCGUCACUUCUUAUAUUUAUACACCCGCUCUAUACGUCUGGGGUUUUUUCUUUAAAGUGAACAAAUGUACUACUGUGUUGUUGUUUUUUGUAUAUGUUUUGUAAUACGCAAAUAAAGAAACACUUUCCUGUCAUUCAUAAUUCUACUUCGAGUCAUUUCAAGACAGAAUACACG
Molecule: long non-coding RNA, 1873 nt
Organism: Ictalurus punctatus (channel catfish)
Lineage: Eukaryota; Metazoa; Chordata; Actinopteri; Siluriformes; Ictaluridae
Source: Ensembl